CUACGGGUGGCUGCAGUCGGGAAUUUUGCUCAAUGGGGGAAACCCUGAAGCAGCAACGCCGCGUGAGGGAUGAAGGCCUUCGGGUUGUAAACCUCUUUUGUCAGGGACGAUGAUGACGGUACCUGGCGAAUAAGCCACGGCUAACUACGUGCCAGCAGCCGCGGUAAUACGUAGGUGGCAAGCGUUGUCCGGAUUUACUGGGCGUAAAGAGCGCGCAGGCGGUCGGGUAAGUCGAAUGUGAAAGCCCCUGGCUCAACUGGGGAGGGUCAUUCGAUACUGCUCGACUCGAAGGCAGGAGAGGGAAGCGGAAUUCCCGGUGUAGUGGUGAAAUGCGUAGAUAUCGGGAGGAACACCAGUGGCGAAGGCGGCUUUCUGGCCUGUUCUUGACGCUGAGGCGCGAAAGCUAGGGGAGCAAACGGGAUUAGAUACCCGAGUAGUC
Molecule: ribosomal RNA, 439 nt
Filed under: uncultured bacterium
Lineage: Bacteria
Description: partial 16S ribosomal RNA
Rfam family: Bacterial small subunit ribosomal RNA
Source: RNAcentral